AGUGAACGCUGGCGGUAGGCCUAACACAUGCAAGUCGAACGGCAGCACAGUAAGAGCUUGCUCUUACGGGUGGCGAGUGGCGGACGGGUGAGGAAUACAUCGGAAUCUACUUUUUCGUGGGGGAUAACGUAGGGAAACUUACGCUAAUACCGCAUACGACCUACGGGUGAAAGCAGGGGAUCUUCGGACCUUGCGCGAUUGAAUGAGCCGAUGUCGGAUUAGCUAGUUGGCGGGGUAAAGGCCCACCAAGGCGACGAUCCGUAGCUGGUCUGAGAGGAUGAUCAGCGACACUGGAACUGAGACAGGGUCCAGACUCCUACGGGAGGGCGCAGUGGGGAAUAUUGGACAAUGGGCGCAAGCCUGAUCCAGCCAUACCGCGUGGGUGAAGAAGGCCUUCGGGUUGUAAAGCCCUUUUGUUGGGAAAGAAAAGCAGCAGGUUAAUACCCCGCUGUUCCGACGGUACCCAAAGAAUAAGCACCGGCUAACUUCGUG
Molecule: ribosomal RNA, 492 nt
Filed under: uncultured bacterium
Lineage: Bacteria
Description: partial 16S ribosomal RNA
Rfam family: Bacterial small subunit ribosomal RNA
Source: RNAcentral